RNAcentral lists this ribosomal RNA (253 nucleotides) under uncultured bacterium. Its description in RNAcentral is "partial 16S ribosomal RNA". It matches the Rfam family "Bacterial small subunit ribosomal RNA", at positions 524 to 776 of the family's 1533-position model. The record is from RNAcentral.
UACGAAGGGGGCUAGCGUUGUUCGGAUUUACUGGGCGUAAAGGGCGCGUAGGCGGGCUGAUCAGUCAGGGGUGAAAUCCCAAGGCUCAACCUUGGAACUGCCUUUGAUACUGUCGGUCUUGAGUUCGAGAGAGGUAAGUGGAACUGUGAGUGUAGAGGUGAAAUUCGUAGAUAUUCGGAGGAACACCAGUGGCGAAGGCGGCUCACUGGUCCGGUACUGACGCUGAGGUGCGAAAGCGUGGGGAGCAAACAGG